UAUAAAAAAAUAGGCUCUGCUCCAUGAUUUAAAUAGCCGCAGUAUUUUGACUGUGCUAAGGUAGCAAAAUAAUUUGUCUUUUAAUUGAAGGCUAGAAUGAAAGAGUUGACGACGCUCAGCCUUUCUUAACUUAUUAAAGGGAAUUUGAUAUUUGCCUUAAAAAGUGCAACUUACUGAAGGGACGAUAAGACCCUGUGAAACUUUAAUUUAUUUGGCUUUAACACACUUAGGAGAUUUUAAGGCUUGUUAAAUUAAGCUGGGGCGGCAGUUAGAAUGCACUAAUAGAAGUAACAAGAUUAUUGAGUGUAAGGAUCUCGGGAAGAGAUAGAGUAAGUUACUUUAGGGAUAACAGCACAAUUUUUUUAUAUAGGCCGUAUAGAAUAAAAAGACUUGUGACCUCGAUGUUGAAUUGGGGGGCCCCGCUAGAGUAGAAAUUAGUGUGGGAGGUCUGUUCGACCUUUAUACCCCC
RNAcentral lists this ribosomal RNA (469 nucleotides) under Chelator sp. VTDes091. Its description in RNAcentral is "partial 16S ribosomal RNA". It matches the Rfam family "Bacterial large subunit ribosomal RNA", at positions 1844 to 2597 of the family's 2925-position model. Lineage: Eukaryota; Metazoa; Arthropoda; Malacostraca; Isopoda; Desmosomatidae. The record is from RNAcentral.